AGUGAACGCUGGCGGUAGGCCUAACACAUGCAAGUCGAACGGCAGCACAGUAAGAGCUUGCUCUUACGGGUGGCGAGUGGCGGACGGGUGAGGAAUACAUCGGAAUCUACUUUUUCGUGGGGGAUAACGUAGGGAAACUUACGCUAAUACCGCAUACGACCUACGGGUGAAAGCAGGGGAUCUUCGGACCUUGCGCGAUUGAAUGAGCCGAUGUCGGAUUAGCUAGUUGGCGGGGUAAAGGCCCACCAAGGCGACGAUCCGUAGCUGGUCUGAGAGGAUGAGCGGCAACAGUGGAACUGAGACAGGGUCCAGACCCCUACGGGGGCAGGCAGAGGGGAAUGUUGGACAAUGGGGGCAAGCCGGAUGCAGCAAUACGGGGUGGGUGAGGAAGGCCUUCGGAUUGUAAAGUCCGUUGGUUGGGAAAGAAAAUCAGCAGAUGGAAAAGCCGAUGUACUGACGGUAACUAAAAAGAAAGCAACGGCUAACUUCGUG
Molecule: ribosomal RNA, 492 nt
Filed under: uncultured bacterium
Lineage: Bacteria
Description: partial 16S ribosomal RNA
Rfam family: Bacterial small subunit ribosomal RNA
Source: RNAcentral